This 709-nucleotide long non-coding RNA is filed under the name Theobroma cacao (cacao). RNAcentral's name for it is "long non-coding RNA (TCAC_LNC000555)". The record is from RNAcentral. Lineage: Eukaryota; Viridiplantae; Streptophyta; Magnoliopsida; Malvales; Malvaceae.
GGAUAUUCGCUGCAAGUGGAUGAAUCAAGCAUGACAGGCGAGAGUGACCACGUGGAAGUAGAUACCACCAGGAACCCAUUCCUUUUUUCUGGUUCAAAGGUGGUAGAUGGAUAUGCUCAAAUGCUCGUAGCAUCCGUGGGAAUGGACACUGCAUGGGGUGAAAUGAUGAGCUCAAUAACCAGUGAUAAAAAUGAAAGAACACCACUACAAACUCGACUGGACAAACUAACCUCUUCUAUUGGAAAGGUAGGUCUUGCCGUUGCCUUUCUGGUUCUUGUAGUCUUAUUAAUUCGUUAUUUUACUGGGAAUACAGAAGAUGACAAUGGGAAUAAGGAGUAUAUCGGUAGCAAGACCGAUGUAGACGAUAUCUUAAAUGCGGUUGUUCGAAUUGUUGCUGCUGCAGUAACUAUUGUGGUUGUGGCAAUCCCAGAAGGUCUACCAUUGGCUGUCACUCUUACACUAGCCUACUCAAUGAAAAGAAUGAUGGCUGAUCAGGCAAUGGUCAGAAAACUUUCUGCUUGUGAAACAAUGGGCUCAGCUACAAUUAUUUGUACUGACAAAACUGGCACCUUGACACUGAAUCAGAUGAAAGUGACCCAGUUUUGGCUCGGGGAAGAGGCCAUUGAGGAAGAUCUUGCCAACAUAAUUGCCCCAAGUGUUCUUGAAUUAUUCUACCAAGGAGUUGGCUUGAACACAACUGGUAGUGUUU